AAGUUCGAACGCGAAAGCCCCCUUCGGGGGGCAAGUAGAGUGGCGCACGGGUGAGUAACACGUAGGUAAUCUACCUUUGGAUGGGGAAUAACAACCGGAAACGGUUGCUAAUACCGCAUAAUGCAGCGGCACCUAAUGGUGACAGUUGUUAAAGCGGGGGAUCGCAAGACCUCGCGUCUGAAGAGGAGCCCGCGGCGGAUUAGCUAGUUGGUAAGGUAACGGCUUACCAAGGCUAUGAUCCGUAGCCGGCCUGAGAGGGCGGUCGGCCACACUGACACUGACAUACGGGUCAGACUCCUACGGGAGGCAGCAGUCGGGAAUUUUGGGCAAUGGGCGAAAGCCUGACCCAGCAACGCCGCGUGAAGGAUGAAAUCCUUCGGGAUGUAAACUUCGCAAGAACAGGAAGAAUAAGUAAGAGUUAAUAUCUCUUAUGAUGACGGUACUGUUUGUAAGCUCCGGCUAACUCCGUGCCAGCAGCCGCGGUAAUACGGGGGGAGCAAGCGUUGUUCGGAUUUACUGGGCGUAAAGGGCGCGUAGGCGGCCACCGCAAGUCGACUGUGAAAUCUCCGGGCUUAACCCGGAAAGGUCAGCCGAUACUGCGGGGCUGGAGUGCAGAAGGGGCAACUGGAAUUCUCGGUGUAGCGGUGAAAUGCGUAGAUUUCGAGAGGAACACCUGCGGCGAAGGCGGGUUGCUGGGCUGACACUGACGCUGAUGCGCGAAAGCUAGGGGAGCGAACGGGGAUUAGAUACCCCGGUAGUCCUAGCCUUAAACGAUGAAUGCUUGGUGUCUGGGGUUUUAUAGUCCCCGGGUGCCGUCGCUAACGC
RNAcentral lists this ribosomal RNA (825 nucleotides) under uncultured Actinomycetes bacterium. Its description in RNAcentral is "bacterial SSU rRNA". It matches the Rfam family "Bacterial small subunit ribosomal RNA", at positions 59 to 858 of the family's 1533-position model. Lineage: Bacteria; Bacillati; Actinomycetota; Actinomycetes. The record is from RNAcentral.